Molecule: non-coding RNA, 544 nt
Organism: Paramuricea clavata
Lineage: Eukaryota; Metazoa; Cnidaria; Anthozoa; Malacalcyonacea; Plexauridae
Source: the annotation of a GenBank genome assembly
GGAAGAAGUCCAGAUAUUCAUCGCAACAGAUUUGGGUAUGACGUGGUGAUCUGAUAUCAGUUUGGUUACAGUCUUAGGUCUUUUGUAGUACAAUAUAAAGGAAAUAUUUUCACCACAUAAUCCAAUUAUGUGCUUUGGCAAACAUUACUGCUUUAGCAAACAUUACUGCCUUGGAAAACAUUACUUUUUUAUAACUACUAAUUAUGAUGAUGCCAGCCCAACAACACUUGAUCAUGCUAUUUGCAAAUAUUUUCAUGUUCUAGAUUGUGAAAACAAUCAAUUUCUAAACAAAUGAGUAGUGAUUAUUUCAAAUUUCAAUAGCAUGACCCAAUUUUGAGGCUGGUUAUGCCACUAAUAACUAAAGUCAAUUCUGUAAUGAUUAUCUAAGAAUGUAUGUAGUAAUUGUAGAAAUAAAGACAUUUUGCUAAUCAUGAUUUGAGUGUUCUUUUGUGGGUAUCACAGACUUAUUUUGGUGCCAUACUAUCUUUGGAGAGUAAGAAAUAUUGAAAAUUUGUAUUGAUAACAUGUUGCAGCAAUAAAAAAG